RNAcentral lists this ribosomal RNA (442 nucleotides) under uncultured bacterium. RNAcentral's name for it is "bacterial SSU rRNA". It matches the Rfam family "Bacterial small subunit ribosomal RNA", at positions 28 to 469 of the family's 1533-position model. The record is from RNAcentral.
GACGAACGCUGGCGGCGUGCUUAACACAUGCAAGUCGAGCGGUAAGGCCCUUUCGGGGGUACACGAGCGGCGAACGGGUGAGUAACACGUGGGUGACCUGCCCUCAGCUCUGGGAUAAGCCUGGGAAACCGGGUCUAAUACCGGAUAUGACUCCAUGACGCAUGUUGUGGGGUGGAAAGCCUUGUGCGGCUGAGGAUGGGCCCGCGGCCUAUCAGCUUGUUGGUGGGGUGAUGGCCUACCAAGGCGACGACGGGUAGCCGGCCUGAGAGGGCGACCGGCCACACUGGGACUGAGACACGGGUCAGACUCCUACGGGAGGCAGCAGUCGGGAAUUUUGGGCAAUGGGCGCAAGCCUGACCCAGCAACGCCGCGUGAAGGAUGAAAUCCCUCGGGAUGUAAACUUCGCAAGAACAGGAAGAAUAAGUGGGGGACAAUACCCCCC